Molecule: non-coding RNA, 2176 nt
Organism: Pogona vitticeps (central bearded dragon)
Lineage: Eukaryota; Metazoa; Chordata; Lepidosauria; Squamata; Agamidae
Source: RefSeq, a predicted model, not a curated record
GUCAGGGUUCUUGAUCAAUUAUGACUGUUCUCACAAAAAGGAACAAAAAAUCAUUUUAAUUUCUGAGAAGGAAUUUUGCACUUCAUUUCUUCUUGCAUGAGGCAGUUGAUAUUUUUAAUUUAAUUUAUUAGCAGAAGGCAAGGAGGGAAGUGCUUUUCUCCAUGAGAGUUAAUUUAUUACAAGGUGAGAUGGUUUCCCAGGGAAAGUUGCAUAAACUACUGAAACGACAGAGAAAAAUGUACUGGUUUAAAGAGGUAAAUGAAGGAACAGCACAGAAUUCUGUCUUUUGUGAAGACUUUGAAUAGCUUUGGGCUUGUGGAGUUCUAACGUUAAACACCUAUUAAGGCUGCUUUCUCCUCAGCCCCAGUUGCUACUAACUCUUCUGUGGCCAGCUGCCUAGAACCCUUCGUGGACAAGGGUGUUGGUUUACAGUGCGUGAGUCAGGCAUCGUGCUUGGAAGACUUUGACUGCAAUUUUUUGCACCCCGAGAGUACUUCCGGUUUCAUAGGGGACACAGUUCCCAGUUCCAACAAGGGAGACCCAUCCACAACAACUGCCUGUGUGUUAGAUUGUCCAGUUUUGCCCUCUGAGUCUGUGUACGUGUGCAUGCAAAAAAAAAAAAAAGCCUUCCCCACCCAUCAGCACAUCUGGAACCUUUGGCUCCUUCUGCUGCUCACACACCAUCAUACUGGUGGUCAAUACAGUCAGCUAUAUUUUGUUGCACGUGUCUUGACUGAAUUCCUCCUAAUGGAAUACACAUGGUCUGUACUGGCAGCACUUAUUCUUUGAGGUGAGAGAGGGAAAGGUGCAAAGACCAUCCACUGCUCAACAACCUCUUUGAAUGAGGGCAAAUGCAUUUUAAUUCAAGGAUGUGUAAACCUGCUUGUUUAAUUGGAGGAGGUUUAUAAUCUUAGAAUACAUUGUAAGUGCCUGUGGGUCAGAAAGGGGAGGGCCAUCAUUCCUAAUUGAGUCUAUGUUAGAAAAGGAGAAUAUGGUUAAUGUAGAAGUGGUUUGAAUAUGAGAGAAUAGUCAUACAUCAUGAAGAAUUUACACAACAUAUUUUCCACUUGUGUUGUUUGUCAAAGACACCAACAGGCUUAUGGUGUUGUCUUUUCAUGUUUUCCCAGUCUUAGCUCUCUUAUAUGCUCACUGAGAGAAAAGCUUAGAUCCAAGCAGAAGUUCAUUGACUGCGAGGAUGUCUAAAAGCUUUGUCGCUCAUUAGCAUCUUCCCAUUAAAAGGCAGAUUUACACACCGGAGUCUUAAUAGGAGAUGACAUGUAGUGGCACCCAACUGCCAUUGUUUUCAGGCAACCAAGCCAGGUAAGGAAACAGCAGGGUUUCGCCCCAAACAUUUAUAUCCUACUAGGCUAAAGGUGCAUCUUGGGAUCCCUCACUGCCAGUUGCUUGGACUGGCUGUUGGGAAAAGUCAAGUAAGUUUUGUCCUGUGUGGUCAAGAGCAUUGGGGACUGCAGACAGCUGGUGCUUUGGAAGGACCAAUGGGAAUACCUGAAUUAAGAGGCCAGCCCUACAGAUCUGUUAAUUGGUAGAGGUUCACACAGCAUUCCUGUAUUUUGAGUGCAGAGCAUGUGAUAGAGCCAACCGGGACAGGUUGAGAGGAAAGGAAAAAAGGAGUAACUGCUGGAAAAUGAAAGCCCAUGUCCCUCAACCAGCCCCAUGGAAAACUGAGGGAUGUCCUCACUGCAUAAGCCUUAUGGGGCUUGUAAUAGCAUCUGUAGUUGGAUAUCUGGGACCAAACAUCAGAGAGUAGUCACUAGCUGUUUUUUUUUGCACUUCUACUUAAAUGUACUGUACUGUAAAUCUCUCAUGAUUUGUUUAAGUGUCCUUUAAAAAAAAAGAAAUCAAAAAAUGUAUUUAUUAUAUGUUUAUACUUCUGGGAGGGAAGAUAAGAAAACUAGGCAGGUAACCAACUAAAAAUAGUUAUUUAAUUCUUUUUAAAAGAAACUUCUUCAGAAUAAUGGGAGUUCACAUUGAGAAAAGCUAUGGUAAUACCAUUAAUGUUCAGCUACCGAAUGGUGAGGCAUUGGACUUUAAUAUGUUCUGUUUACAUGUCUGGAUUGUCUCUUGAAUCUGUUCCUUCAUUACACACGGGCUUUCAAUAUUUGUGAAAUUGUUAAGAUGUAGCAAGAGAAAUAAAAUUCCACUGUAUGUAUAAAAA